RNAcentral lists this ribosomal RNA (253 nucleotides) under uncultured bacterium. RNAcentral's name for it is "partial 16S ribosomal RNA". It matches the Rfam family "Bacterial small subunit ribosomal RNA", at positions 524 to 776 of the family's 1533-position model. The record is from RNAcentral.
UACGUAGGGGGCAAGCGUUGUCCGGAUUCAUUGGGUGUAAAGAGCGUGUAGGCGGCCAGGUAGGUCGGUUGUGAAAACUGGAGGCUCAACCUUCAGAGGUCGAUCGAAACCAUCUGGCUAGAGUCCGGGAGAGGAGAGUGGAAUUCCUGGUGUAGCGGUGAAAUGCGCAGAUAUCAGGAAGAACCCCCGUGGCGAAAGCGGCUCUCUGGAACGGUACUGACGCUGAGACGCGAAAGCGUGGGGAGCGAACAGG